UGCCAGACUCCUACGGGAGGCAGCAGUGGGGAAUAUUGCACAAUGGGGGAAACCCUGAUGCAGCGACGCCGCGUGAGCGAAGAAGUACCUCGGUAUGUAAAGCUCUAUCAGCAGGGAAGAAGAUGACGGUACCUGACCAAGAAGCUCCGGCUAAAUACGUGCCAGCAGCCGCGGUAAUACGUAUGGAGCAAGCGUUAUCCGGAUUUAUUGGGUUUAAAGGGAGCGUAGGCCGGCUUUUAAGUCAGCUGUGAAAGUCCGCGGCUCAACCGUGGAAUUGCAGUUGAAACUGGAGGCCUUGAGUGCACACAGGGAUGCCGGAAUUCAUGGUGUAGCGGUGAAAUGCUUAGAUAUCAUGAAGAACUCCGAUCGCGAAGGCAAGUGUCCGGGGUGCAACUGACGCUGAGGCUCGAAAGUGCGGGUAUCAAACAGGAUUAGAUACCCGAGUA
RNAcentral lists this ribosomal RNA (446 nucleotides) under uncultured bacterium. Its description in RNAcentral is "partial 16S ribosomal RNA". It matches the Rfam family "Bacterial small subunit ribosomal RNA", at positions 329 to 792 of the family's 1533-position model. The record is from RNAcentral.